This 514-nucleotide ribosomal RNA is filed under the name Hepatozoon canis. RNAcentral describes it as "bacterial SSU rRNA". It matches the Rfam family "Eukaryotic small subunit ribosomal RNA", at positions 328 to 835 of the family's 1831-position model. The record is from RNAcentral. Lineage: Eukaryota; Apicomplexa; Hepatozoidae.
GUAUGGUAUUGGCUUACCGUGGCAGUGACGGUUAACGGGGGAUUAGGGUUCGAUUCCGGAGAGGGAGCCUGAGAAACGGCUACCACAUCUAAGGAAGGCAGCAGGCGCGCAAAUUACCCAAUUCUAACAGUUUGAGAGAGGUAGUAACAAGAAAUAACAAUACAAGGCAAUUAAAAUGCUUUGUAAUUGGAAUGAUAGAAAUUUAAACCCUUUUUAAAGUAUCAAUUGGAGGGCAAGUCUGGUGCCAGCAGCCGCGGUAAUUCCAGCUCCAAUAGCGUAUAUUAAAAUUGUUGCAGUUAAAAAGCUCGUAGUUGAAGUUCUGCUAAAAGUAACCGGUCUGCUUUUAAUAAAAGUGGUAUCUUGGUGUGUAUUUAGCAAUGAUGUCCUUUGAAGUGUUUUUUACUUUAUUGUAAUAAAGCAUAUUCAGGACUUUUACUUUGAGAAAAUUAGAGUGUUUCUAGCAGGCCGACGCUUUGAAUACUGCAGCAUGGAAUAAUAAGAUAGGAUUUUAGUU